GAAAGUUUAAUUUGCAUGAACCCGUAGCUCGAGGGGUAUUUUGUGUUGGGUCAAUAAAUAGUAGCAGCAAAACCAUAUUGGAUCUUGAUAUUGGUUGUAGAAAUCGCCGGGUCCAACAACAAGACUACAUAUGCCAACAACAUGAUCAAGACACUUGAAUAAAGAAUGAUAGAAACAUCGUGAGAGCUCAUGUCUCAAAACCACUUCAUCGUCAAAAUAUUUUUGAUAAGCUAGAUAAAUUCACCAGAUCAUAGGGGUCACUAAGAAAGCCAAGUAGGAAUCUGAGCCGAGCCAGUGCUUGGACAAAGUUAGGACAUCCGUAAAAUAUUAGAGCUUCAAGCAUCACAAAUGGCAUGAUAAAAACAAAGAUAUAAUAAUGAUUCAUCUGAUUAAAGCAUGAAAGAUGAAUAGUUGAGAUUAAUUUCAUGAGUAUUGAAUGGUUUGAGAAAACCUCCAAGAAGGUAACAUAAAUAUUCUAGUUAUGGUUUUUCUCCCAUGACGUUACCUCCUAAGGAUUUUCUUGACCCGCAAAAUAAUGAUCCCUUGUUAUCUUAUUUGGUGUCGCAAACAUAAAUGAUAUAUGAAUAUCACUAAAUGAAAUAUAUGUGAAUUAGUCUGCUUUUUAGGAACGACCGAACUACUUCCAACUCUAAGAUUACAAAAUAUGGAAAAAAAAAGUAAUUCAUAUAUUAAUUUAGUAAAAAUGAUCUGCACCCUAGUUGGAGUUACAUAAAGGAGCGUGUGUAUGGAAAUUUAAAAGCUGCAAAAAUGUAACUGCAAUAGCAUAAAUCAUUUAAUAUAAAUAUUAAUGGUUAUUGAUUCAAUAUGAAGUGGGAUAUCCUUUCCUUCUGCGAGACCUUCAAAAUUCUUAAGAUUAAAUGAAUUAGAUUAGAGAAAAUACGAUACAGGAUAGUAUGUACCUUUUGGACAGAAUUUUGAUACCGAGGAUAUAUAUGCUAAGCACAAGAGUUGCAGCAAGGGCGAGCUCAUUGACUGCGCCCAGAGGCAGGGCCGAAUGUGGGGCUAGUGCUCGUGCCGCGCAGCCUGGGCUUCUCCUUGGCUAAUGUAAAAAAGAUCCUACCAAAGAAAAGAAAACAUAUUUAUAGGAUUGAGAUGGAGCUCACGCCUAAUAGCCUGAUUGGUACCAUUGCAAAUAGCCGGCUCAUGAAUUCCUCUUCCUGAAAAAUUCCAGAACCAGCCUCCAAUAGUCCCCAAACCAAAAUACCACAGCCUGCAGCAAAAAGGAGAAGAAAAGACAGAUUUAGGAUGAGUCGAACUAAUCAGAGGGAGAAGGUAGCAGGGGAGGGAAAAUAUGCAGAUAGCAGCAGCCUAGGGGAGAAGAAUGGUUGAUGGAUCUUGUAUUGCCGGAGGAGGAAGAAGGGGAGAAGAUAUGGAGCGCCGGACCUCUACCAUCCGCCGCCACGGUGCUCCCUCGACUGCCAUUAAUUCCUAAACGAAACGGAAAACUGCUCGACUCCUCGCCUUAAAAACACGACGGAUGAACUCUCCGCAUCGGCCGGUGAGGCCCGCGCCAGGUCGGUCGCUCGCCACUGCUUCAAGAGGCGCCGCCUCGCCCUCCGGCCCACAUUCCGAGCCGCCUCUCGUACACGCGGUGGAUCAAAUCGGAGCUCAGAGACAGGAGGCGGUGGGGAUCGGGGCGCGGAUCGGAUCCGGGAGGCGGAGGUGAUCGGGGCACGGG
RNAcentral lists this long non-coding RNA (1699 nucleotides) under Triticum aestivum (bread wheat). Its description in RNAcentral is "long non-coding RNA (TAES_LNC018375)". The record is from RNAcentral. Lineage: Eukaryota; Viridiplantae; Streptophyta; Magnoliopsida; Poales; Poaceae.